This 505-nucleotide ribosomal RNA is filed under the name uncultured bacterium. RNAcentral's name for it is "partial 16S ribosomal RNA". It matches the Rfam family "Bacterial small subunit ribosomal RNA", at positions 29 to 523 of the family's 1533-position model. The record is from RNAcentral.
AGUGAACGCUGGCGGUAGGCCUAACACAUGCAAGUCGAACGGCAGCACAGGAGAGCUUGCUCUCUGGGUGGCGAGUGGCGGACGGGUGAGGAAUACAUCGGAAUCUACUCUGUCGUGGGGAUAACGUAGGGAAACUUACGCUAAUAACGCAUACGACCUACGGGUGAAAGCAGGGGACCUUCGGGCCUUGCGCGAUUGAAUGAGCCGAUGUCGGAUUAGCUAGUUGGCGGGGUAAAGGCCCACCAAGGCGACGAUCCGUAGCUGGUCUGAGAGGAUGAUCAGCCACACUGGAACUGAGACACGGUCCAGACUCCUACGGGAGGCAGCAGUGGGGAAUAUUGGACAAUGGGCGCAAGCCUGAUCCAGCCAUACCGCGUGGGUGAAGAAGGCCUUCGGGUUGUAAAGCCCUUUUGUUGGGAAAGAAAUCCAGCUGGCUAAUACCCGGUUGGGAUGACGGUACCCAAAGAAUAAGCACCGGCUAACUUCGUGCCAGCAGCCGCGGUAA